UGUCCUUGAUGUGAGGACUGUAUAUUAGGUUGAUUUUUGAAACGGCAGGGUUAGAACAGAAGCUUGCUUUGUCUGCCCCAUGCAUCGACCUGGUAUUGCAGUGCUUCCAGGAACGGUGU
RNAcentral lists this small nuclear RNA (119 nucleotides) under Gopherus agassizii (Agassiz's desert tortoise). Its description in RNAcentral is "U2 spliceosomal RNA (ENSGAGG00000010968.1)". It matches the Rfam family "U2 spliceosomal RNA", at positions 67 to 185 of the family's 192-position model. Rfam says of the family: U2 is a small nuclear RNA (snRNA) component of the spliceosome (involved in pre-mRNA splicing). Complementary binding between U2 snRNA (in an area lying towards the 5' end but 3' to hairpin I) and the branchpoint sequence (BPS) of the intron results the bulging out of an unpaired adenosine, on the BPS, which initiates a nucleophilic attack at the intronic 5' splice site, thus starting the first of two transesterification reactions that mediate splicing. Lineage: Eukaryota; Metazoa; Chordata; Testudines; Testudinidae. The record is from RNAcentral.